This 341-nucleotide ribosomal RNA is filed under the name Gammaproteobacteria bacterium. RNAcentral's name for it is "bacterial SSU rRNA". It matches the Rfam family "Bacterial small subunit ribosomal RNA", at positions 1 to 342 of the family's 1533-position model. Lineage: Bacteria; Pseudomonadati; Pseudomonadota; Gammaproteobacteria. The record is from RNAcentral.
UUAUAGAAGAGUUUGAUCCUGGCUCAGAUUGAACGCUGGCGGCACGCCUAACACAUGCAAGUCGAACGGCAGCACGGAGAGUAGCAAUACUUUUGGGUGGCGAGUGGCGGACGGGUGAGUAACGCGUAGGAAUCUACCCUAGAGAUGAGGAUAACUUGGGGAAACUCAAGCUAAUACUGAAUACGCCCUUAGGGGUAAAGGUUGCGCAAGCAGCCGCUUUAGGAUGAGCCUGCGUUAGAUUAGCUAGUUGGUGGGGUAAAGGCCUACCAAGGCGACGAUCUAUAGCUGUUCUGAGAGGAAGAUCAGCCACACUGGGACUGAGACACGGCCCAGACUCCUAC